This is a long non-coding RNA of Fundulus heteroclitus (mummichog), 521 nucleotides long. RefSeq lists it as uncharacterized. Lineage: Eukaryota; Metazoa; Chordata; Actinopteri; Cyprinodontiformes; Fundulidae. The transcript has 2 exons. The record is from RefSeq and is a predicted model, not a curated record.
CUUCCCAUCAGAUCAGGGCAGCUUCCAUGUUCCACUUCCUGCUGAAGAAAAGCAAGAUGCUACAUCUACACUGUCAUACAGGUCUUAAGAUGACUGCUGGAGUCCAUCGGUGUCUCAGUCAUUGGGCAAAAAGCUGGAUACAACCUGGACCAAAGUCUAAUACAAAAAUAAGGGCAACUUAGUCGCAGCUUAACCUCACAUGCAAGUUGAUGGACUGAUGGAAGAAGUUGAAGUACCUGGAGAAGAUCCACAGAUGAACAUGAAAAAUAUGCAAACGCCCCAGAGAAGACGCCACCAGCCAUCAUCAUCAUUUGAAGCGGCCACCUUCUAGCUAGUGUGCGAGGCAACAGCGGCAACUACUGGAGCAACCUCUCAGAAAGCUAUUCUCCAAAAACGAAGCAGAUUGGCAAACAUUUCAUUUCAAGCAUGUCCAAGAAGCAGAAUUAUCAUAGAAUGCUCCAUCCGAUUCUUUUAACGGGCUUCAUUUGCUAAUCCACAUCUUUAUGUACUCAUCAAAAAAA